Molecule: long non-coding RNA, 862 nt
Filed under: Rattus norvegicus (Norway rat)
Lineage: Eukaryota; Metazoa; Chordata; Mammalia; Rodentia; Muridae
Description: long non-coding RNA NONRATT000975
Source: RNAcentral
GAUGAAACCAUUGACGACUGGGGGAUGGAAAGGCAGUCAUGUAGACUUAUCUUUAAUCCUUAAUAGAUUCAGAUCUGUAAUAGAUUUUUACAAUUUCUCCUUUGAAUAACUUCAGUGACCCCCCUCCCUUUUGAAAUACAGAUGUUGAACUUGUAUCAAAGGCUCCCAGUGUCAGACUCCUAGUCUACAGCACAUGCGUUAAGGGGAGAUACAGAGUAGUAUUCAAAGUGUUUAGCUUGCCAUUUCCGUGAAGUUUGAGAGGUAGCCAGAUUUUUACAGUUCCAGAGCUUAGAAUUGAAAUAGUGUAUGAAAAUGACUCAGACUGGUUUUAUAUGUGUGAUGAUAUCGUGUUUAUUGUAGAAUGUUACUGCAAAGUCAUGUGUUUUCAACAAUACACAUGACACACUGAGGUUGUUUCCUUGACAUCUUUUUCCAAUUGGUCAAGGUUGCAGAUAUAGAGGAUAAAACGUUGCAUUGAGAAUGAAUUCAUGUUUACUGGUAACUCAUGUUUUAAAAAGUGAUCUGCCAAAGAACCAAGAACUUCAGAUACUAAUAAAAUUGUUGUGGGGGAAGAGAUUUUUAAAAGGAUGUUAUUACCUUUAUCUUUCUAGUUGAUAGAACUUAUCCUAUAUAAUAAACAUUGAAGCAAAGUGAAUAUAAUAAGAAAAAUGUGGACACUUGUUUGUUUAAAUAGAGAGUUAAAAUAAUGGAGAAUGUGUCAGUAGUUUUUAAGUGGGGUGAGUGGCAUUCCCUUUGUGACAAGAAUACCUGUUUAGCCUCGUUGAUAAGCAUGAAGUGUUAGCCCUCACUGGUUCUACCAGAAAACAGGAAGCACCGAACAGAUCUUUAACUCUCCACUGCC